CCAACCCAUUUCGAAGUUCUCUCUGCCUCUGUUACUGUCAAAGGGGACGAGUACGGUGGGAUGAAGCGAAUCUCAAUGAAAUCAACACAAAUAAACCUAUAAGGAAAAAAAUAGACGAACCUAAGACACCAUAUCACCCAAUUCUUGGAGAAGAUGGUUGUUCUUCCCCUGAAUCGGAUUCCUCUGACUCAAUUAGUUAUGCUGCAAAUGCUGAAGCUGUAAGGAUUGCACUGAAUAAAGUAGCUUUAACUCAA
Pistacia vera is the source of this 254-nucleotide long non-coding RNA. RefSeq lists it as uncharacterized. The record is from RefSeq and is a predicted model, not a curated record. NCBI's taxonomy places the organism in Eukaryota, Viridiplantae, Streptophyta, Magnoliopsida, Sapindales, Anacardiaceae. The transcript is spliced from 3 exons.